This 1270-nucleotide long non-coding RNA is filed under the name Monodelphis domestica (gray short-tailed opossum). RNAcentral describes it as "lncRNA (ENSMODG00000043214.1)". Lineage: Eukaryota; Metazoa; Chordata; Mammalia; Didelphimorphia; Didelphidae. The record is from RNAcentral.
AUGUUCUGGAUCCUUAAAUAUACAGUCCUUUGGGCUUAUCCUUAUCCUUGUUCUUGCUUUCGUUUCUUUGGGGGUGAGUUGCUAGCACAUGGAGGAAGGAGAUCUCAGUCGAUAGCAAACAGCAUGAGGAAAAGAAGCAGUGUGGACAAGGAAGCUGAAGUAAGGCUGGAGUCAAAGGGAUGCCUGAAUGCUUUCCUGAGAGGUGAUUUACUAGGGGUCCUAGGCCCAAGGUGUCAACUGAAGGGUUGCUGGUCUUGCACAGCUACAUGAAAUUCUAGUACUUUAAGAGUGUAAUUAAUUACAGCUAAGGGAAAUUUCAGUUUAGGGGCAGAGCCAGGACUGGCUCCAGGAGUUUUGACUCCUUGUCAGGUUUCCCUUUUUCUUCCCAUACUAUUUCUUGGGCUAAACAACUGAGGGAAGGGGGAGGGGGUGGGAGAGGCAUGGGAUGGAGUCUUGGACUGUGUUUUGGGGAAGCAAACCCAAAGUUCCUGAGAGGUGGUUGGCCACCUUUCUAGAGCCCUAAGAAAGGGUGGUAUUCUCUAUAGGUCUGGGAAAAUCCCAGCGAGAGAGCAAACAUACAGGGAGCCUUUAAGAUGCUAAGGAAAGGGGGGAGGGGAGGAGAAGCGGGGCAAGGGGUACUAGCUUUGAAAACAAGGGCUUGUGGGUGCUUUCAGGUUUCUUUUGAUGGCUUCUUUUGUGUGGUGGUGGUGUUUAGAGGCUUAAUUUGGGCUUGUUUUUAUUUGCUUUGGUUGGUGGUAAAAAAACAAAACCCCCGCUUAGUCAUCAGGGCAGGCAUAAUCAUGGCUAGCAGCCCAGACAAGAUCUGGAAUGACCCCUGCAUGCAUCUGUAGGAUGGAAAUCACACUCAGGAAGUGCAUGAUCUGGUGGGAAUUGCACCAAUAGUCAAAAAUCCCGGGUCCCCAGCGCUCGGGCAGCCGGGCCACGUUCACCAGCCCUCCCAGGAGGGCCAACGCAUCCAUUCGGAGAUAGCACAGCAGGGACCUCGGCGCACCAGUGCCCAACCCUAGCCACCGGAUCCCAAAUACCAGCAGGCGGGCGAUGGCUUGCCAGCCAAAGGCCUGGAGGCGGGCGGUAGUGGACAAAGCAGUGAGGGCCCACCAACCAGCCAUGACGGACAGGAAGGCAUACAUCACCAGGGCGAACAGGCGCAGGCAAGGCCAGCAGAGCAGGGUGCACUGGAUCAUGGGGAUGGCUCCGAGGCUGUUGGCCAGCCAGACCCCGCACAUAUCGAGGGCUAGGAGGUGGGAGU